UGCAGAAUUUACCGUCAUCAGUGCAAUCGGUCUGUGAGUCCUGGAAUAACAUCAAUACCAACGAGUUUCCCAACAUUGGAUCCUGGCGCAAUGCAUUUGCCAACGACACCAUCCCAUCGGAGAGUUAUAUCAGUGCAGUGCAGGCUGCUCACCUGGGGACUCUGUGUGGCCAGAGUCUGCCCCUGGCGGCUUCCCUGAAACAUGCCCUCCUCUCCCUGGUCAGGUUGACUGGGGAUCUGAUUGUGUGAGUACUAGAGCCUGGAGCCCAGCCCCUGUGUUCACGAUGGUGUGCUGUCUUCUGGCUGAAGCAGUAGAGUUGAGGUGACAGUGAUUUUACUCCUAAGUGUUUGGUAGAGUCGAGGAGGGCCAACCACCAGACAGGCAGUUGGGUCACGGGAACCAUGCUGCUUUGCCUUCAAAGUGGUCCAGAUUCCUGACUGUUCUAGAGUUUUCAAGGAUGGAUUGCUUUCUCCGGUUUUAGUUUAUUAUGAAAGUGUCUUAUUAAUUUGCUAUUUUAAUAAAUAAUGCAUUGUUAUAUGGAAA
This 543-nucleotide long non-coding RNA is filed under the name Rattus norvegicus (Norway rat). RNAcentral's name for it is "long non-coding RNA NONRATT022794". The record is from RNAcentral. Lineage: Eukaryota; Metazoa; Chordata; Mammalia; Rodentia; Muridae.